UACAGAGGUCUCAAGCGUUGUUCGGAUUCAUUGGGCGUAAAGGGUGCGUAGGCGGCGCGGUAAGUCGGGUGUGAAAACCCGGGGCUCAACCCCGGGCUUGCAGUGGAUACGGGCAGGCUAGAGGCAGGCAGGGGAGAACGGAAUUCCCGGUGUAGCGGUGAAAUGCGCAGAUAUCGGGAAGGAACACCGGUGGCGAAGGCGGUUCUCUGGGCCUGUACUGACGCUGAGGAGCGAAAGCGUGGGGAGCAACAGG
This 253-nucleotide ribosomal RNA is filed under the name uncultured bacterium. Its description in RNAcentral is "partial 16S ribosomal RNA". It matches the Rfam family "Bacterial small subunit ribosomal RNA", at positions 524 to 775 of the family's 1533-position model. The record is from RNAcentral.